Molecule: ribosomal RNA, 1243 nt
Filed under: metagenome
Description: bacterial LSU rRNA
Rfam family: Bacterial large subunit ribosomal RNA
Source: RNAcentral
UGAGUACGAGACCCUAAGGCGUUGAAGCAGUCUAUGUCAGACUUCCAAGAAAAGCUCGCAAUGUCAUAACCAAAAAAUGCCUGUACCAUAACCGACACAGGUGGGUAGGUAGAGUAUACUAAGGGGCGCGAGAUAACUUUCUCUAAGGAACUCGGCAAAAUGACUCCGUAACUUCGGGAGAAGGAGUGCCUUAUUUUUAUAAGGUUGCAAUAACAAGAUCCAAGCAACUGUUUACCAAAAACACAGGUCUCCGCUAAGUCGUAAGACGAUGUAUGGGGGCUGACGCCUGCCCAGUGCCAGAAGGUUAAAGAAGUUGGUUAGUUUCGGCGAAGCUGAUGACUGAAGCCCUGGUGAACGGCGGCCGUAACUAUAACGGUCCUAAGGUAGCGAAAUUCCUUGUCGGGUAAGUUCCGACCCGCACGAAAGGCGUAAUGAUUUGGAUACUGUCUCGGAGAGGGGCUCGGUGAAAUAGACUUGUCUGUGAAGAUGCGGACUACCUGCACCUGGACAGAAAGACCCUAUGAAGCUUUACUGUAACUUGAGAUUGAAAUUGGACUUUAUUUGCGCAGUAUAGGUGGGAGACGUUGAGAAUAUUCUUGCGGGAAUAUUGGAGUCAUCAGUGAGACACCACUCUUGUAAUGUUAGAUUUCUAACUUUGUAUCAUGAUCUGGUCAAAGGACAGUUUCAGGCGGGCAGUUUGACUGGGGCGGUCGCCUCCCAAACGGUAACGGAGGCGCACAAAGGUUUCCUCUGAACGUGUAGAAAUCGUAUCUAGAGUGUAAAGGCAUAAGGAAGCUUGACUGUGAGACCUACAAGUCGAGCAGGGACGAAAGUCGGUCUUAGUGAUCUGACGGUGCUGAGUGGAAAGGCCGUCACUCAACGGAUAAAAGUUACUCUAGGAUAACAGGCUGAUCUCCCCCAAGAGUUCACAUCGACGGGGAGGUUUGGCACCUCGAUGUCGGCUCAUCGCAUCCUGGGGCGGUAGUACGUCCCAAGGGUUGGGCUGUUCGCCCAUGAAAGCGGUACGCGAGCUGGGUUCAGAACGUCGUGAGACAGUUCGGUCCAUAUCCGGUGUAGGCGUUAGAAUAUUGAGAGGAGCCUUCUUUAGUACGAGAGGACCGAGAAGGACAUACCUCUGGUGUACCAGUUAUCGUGCCAACGGUAAACGCUGGGUAGCUAUGUAUGGAGUGGAUAACCGCUGAAAGCAUCUAAGUGGGAAGCCCACCUCAAGAUAAGUAUUCCC